UACGUAGGGAGCGAGCGUUGUCCGGAAUUACUGGGUGUAAAGGGAGUGUAGGCGGGAUCGCAAGUCAGAUGUGAAAACUAUGGGCUUAACCCAUAAACUGCAUUUGAAACUGUGGUUCUUGAGUGAAGUAGAGGUAAGCGGAAUUCCUAGUGUAGCGGUGAAAUGCGUAGAUAUUAGGAGGAACAUCAGUGGCGAAGGCGGCUUACUGGGCUUUAACUGACGCUGAGGCUCGAAAGCGUGGGGAGCAAACAGG
This 253-nucleotide ribosomal RNA is filed under the name Ruminococcus champanellensis 18P13 = JCM 17042. Its description in RNAcentral is "partial 16S ribosomal RNA". It matches the Rfam family "Bacterial small subunit ribosomal RNA", at positions 524 to 776 of the family's 1533-position model. Lineage: Bacteria; Bacillati; Bacillota; Clostridia; Eubacteriales; Oscillospiraceae. The record is from RNAcentral.